RNAcentral lists this long non-coding RNA (990 nucleotides) under Populus trichocarpa (black cottonwood). RNAcentral's name for it is "long non-coding RNA (PTRI_LNC002155)". Lineage: Eukaryota; Viridiplantae; Streptophyta; Magnoliopsida; Malpighiales; Salicaceae. The record is from RNAcentral.
AUGCACUAGAUUCUUUGUGAAGACAAUUUAUCCUUUCAGUGUGGCUUUGUUAUUCAUGUUAUUACGCAAAUAGGCAUUUUUACAAGGACAAUUUAUCUCUAGUGGAGCCUUGUAUAAAAUGUUAUGUGAAUUGCAGGUGCUAGGGUGCAAACCUUUUCGAAGUAAGAAAUAAUGAAAACUUUCCGUGGGUGCAAAGUGUCCUUUAAGUUCUUGAUAAUUGGAGGGCCUCAAAAAGUCUUAUCUCCUCGUAAAUAUUUUAUGUUCUAUCAUAAUGGAGAAUCACAGAUUCAGGUAUUUCUUCAUUGUCCUACAGCUUGGAGUAUGUGGCAAUGAUGGUUUGCAUUUGGUCUUGGGCCAUACUGAGGAGAGUAAACAAUUUUUGUUGGUUUCUUUGGUGAGUUUUGAAAGGGAGAAACAUUGCGAAGCUUUACAGAGAUGUGCUGUCAGUACAGUUUUUUGGUGCAUUUGGAUGGAUAAAAAUGCGAGUUUUAAUAAUCACUUCAUGUUUGGGCUGUUGUUGUGGGAUAAGAUAGUUUUCUUGGCUUCUUUGUGGUAUCAUCUAGCAGCUGCUUUUAGGCGUGCUUCUCUAGUGGAUAUUCAAAAGGAUUGGACUGCUUUAUUGUUUAGAUCAAGAUUGUUGUUCGUUUUCCCUUUCUGGGAGGAUGUAUUGUUCUCAAUUUUGUGCGGUAGAAUUCUUCUUUCUAAUAAUAGUUUCUACUUGUGCUCUGAAAAUUAGAAUAAUGAUAAUAAUGCUAAUAAUAACAAAUUAAGAAGAGGGGAUAGAGGGAAAGUGUGGGGGACGGUGCACAACGUUGGUCUCUCAAUCUGAAUGAGACGGGGAUAAGAUAAGAAAAAGAGGAGAGAGUAGGCAAAACAGAAGGAAGUGGAAAGAGGUGAAGUGUACAAAAGCUAUUUCAACCAGUUUAAAAAUUUGCUAAUAACUUGCAAAUUAUGUCUUACAUCAUCAAGUCAUGUAUGGAGACUUCACAA